GUGACAUUUUUUUAAACUUAUUUCCAUCAAUUAAAUACUGUUUAAUAGGGAUUUCUUUCCUAUAUAACUUUUUAAUUAAAACUUAAGAAACAGGUUAACUGGAGAAUAAAGUUUUAAUUUAGUAAAAUUAUAAUUUCGAUUAUAAUAACGGCUAUUUAAAUGAUCCAUGAAACAAUAAGUUUAUUUUUUCAAAAAUUAAUUUAAUCGUACCGAUAACCGCAUCAGGUCUCCAAGGUGAGUAGCUUCUGGCCAUUGAGUAAUGGUAAUUUAGGGAAUUCGGCCAAUUAGAGCUGUAACUUCGGGAUAAAGCUUGGCUCUGAUGGAAAUCAGAACCGAUAGUUACAAGGAGAGCCCAACUGUUUAAUAAAAACUUAGUGUCGCGUCAUACCUUUAUAAGUAAUAAACGUGACAUGAAUCCUGCUCAGUGCUGUGUUUGUUAAACUGGAUUAAUCCAUUUAAGCGCCGGUAAAUAGCUGGGGUAACUAUGACUCUUAUCAAAGUAGCGAAAUACCUCGUCACUUAAUUAGUGACCUGCAUGAACGGAGCUAUGAGGUUCUCACUGUCCCAAAUUAUCACUCAGCGAACCAACAGUUGUGGGAACGGGCACAAAUUAUCCAGCGGGGAAAGAAGACCCUGUAGAGCUUCACUUUGGUCUAAUCUUGUAUAGUUUCGUUAGGGGUGCAGUCUAGGUGGGAGAUUUUUAAUCAAAUAUGAGAAACCACUACCCUUUCUGGAAUUAUACUUACUAAAAUUCUUUUCUAAAUUUUAGGAUCGGAUUAGAUAGAAAGUUUGGCUGGGGCGGCACACCUUCGAAAAAGCAGCGAAGGUGUCCUAAGUUAAGCUCAGUAAGGACAGAAAUCUUACGUUGAGGAUAAGGCCAAAAGCUUAAUUUACUGUGCCUUUUUGUACUAGGAUCAGUUUGGAAACAAAGGCCUAACGAUCCCUAAUUAGUCUUAGGUGUGUAAGACUUGGGGUGACAGACAAGUUACCUCCGGGACAACUGGCUUGUGGCUGCUAAGAGAUCAAAUCAACGCAGCUUUUUGAUUCUUCGAUGUCGGCUCUUCCUAUCCUAGUGAUGUACAAGUCACUAAGGGUUGGAUUGUUCACCCGUAUUAGGGAUCGUGAGCUGGGUUUAGACCGUCGUGAGCCAGGUUUGUUUUAUCCUACUGGAUAUAAUUU
RNAcentral lists this ribosomal RNA (1179 nucleotides) under human gut metagenome. Its description in RNAcentral is "eukaryotic LSU rRNA". It matches the Rfam family "Eukaryotic large subunit ribosomal RNA", at positions 1642 to 3009 of the family's 3401-position model. The record is from RNAcentral.